Molecule: ribosomal RNA, 560 nt
Filed under: Babesia sp. RWF-2013
Lineage: Eukaryota; Apicomplexa; Aconoidasida; Piroplasmida; Babesiidae
Description: SSU rRNA
Rfam family: Eukaryotic small subunit ribosomal RNA
Source: RNAcentral
CUGACACAGGGAGGUAGUGACAAGAAAUAACAAUACAGGGCAAUUGUCUUGUAAUUGGAAUGAUGGUGACCUAAACCCUCACCAGAGUAACAAUUGGAGGGCAAGUCUGGUGCCAGCAGCCGCGGUAAUUCCAGCUCCAAUAGCGUAUAUUAAACUUGUUGCAGUUAAAAAGCUCGUAGUUGAAUUUCUGCGUUAUCGAGUUAUUGACUCUUGUCUUUAAUCGAUUUCGCUUUUGGGAUUUAUCCCUUUUUACUUUGAGAAAAUUAGAGUGUUUCAAGCAGACUUUUGUCUUGAAUACUUCAGCAUGGAAUAAUAGAGUAGGACUUUGGUUCUAUUUUGUUGGUUUUUGAACCUUAGUAAUGGUUAAUAGGAACGGUUGGGGGCAUUCGUAUUUAACUGUCAGAGGUGAAAUUCUUAGAUUUGUUAAAGACGAACUACUGCGAAAGCAUUUGCCAAGGACGUUUCCAUUAAUCAAGAACGAAAGUUAGGGGAUCGAAGACGAUCAGAUACCGUCGUAGUCCUAACCAUAAACUAUGCCGACUAGGGAUUGGAGGUCGUCA